This 127-nucleotide ribosomal RNA is filed under the name uncultured bacterium. RNAcentral describes it as "partial 16S ribosomal RNA". The record is from RNAcentral.
ACGUCAAACUUCUAGGUUAUUAACCCAAAAGAUUUCCUCCUUACUGAAAGUGCUUUACGACCCUCGAGCCUUCUUCACACACGCGGUAUUGCUGGAUCAGGCUUUCGCCCAUUGUCCAAUAUUCCCC